GUCUCUGCAGUGUAGUGGUUAUCACGUUCGACUCACACGCGAAAGGUCCCUGGUUCAAAACCGGCCAGAGACA
Molecule: non-coding RNA, 73 nt
Organism: Diceros bicornis minor
Lineage: Eukaryota; Metazoa; Chordata; Mammalia; Perissodactyla; Rhinocerotidae
Source: the annotation of a RefSeq genome assembly